Molecule: long non-coding RNA, 737 nt
Filed under: Homo sapiens (human)
Lineage: Eukaryota; Metazoa; Chordata; Mammalia; Primates; Hominidae
Description: HSALNT0360419
Source: RNAcentral
CCCAGCCCCCUCACUUCUCUCUGCAGGUUACACCACCCCCAACCUGGACCCCAUCCAAUAGGCUCGUGGUCCCUGAUGGUCCUGGACCACUGAUUUGAGGCCUUUCUGCUUCCUUUGAUUCAGUCUUUGGCAGAGACCCAGGAGCAGGAGUCCUUGAUGGCACCUGGCCCUUUCUAGUCACCGACAAGGGAAACCUGAGAAACCAUUCUCAGAAAUGGAACUAAAUUAUGCCAGACUCAUCAACAAAGGCCCACUUGUUCCUUGGGAUUUGUGUCUUGAUGCAUUCUCAAAGAGAGGUUUCCAGGGCACCAGUCACCUGCAGCUCACCUGAAGAUGGCACAUGGCAUGUCGCUGUGCCCCCCUCCCCAUCCAUGUGCUCUACCUGGCAACUUGUUUCUCCCCACCUGAAAGUUGACCUGAGAUGAAACUUGCUAAGGCCUCCUAAGACGAUGUUGCUGGAUGUCCCCUGCUGACCCCACAGACUGGCUCCUCUGGUGUCCGCUGACUUGGCCUGGUGAGAAGGGCAGGGCCAGGCCCUUCCCUGUCUCGACCUGCAUUCCCACCCAACACAGCAAGCUAUUUUGAAAAAACUUCUCUAUCAGUUCUUGUGAGUUAUUUGUCUAAUAAACAACAUUGUGAAAAUGAAGCAUUCAUGUAUUUGUAUAUUGACAAGAGAUAACCAAUUCCCUCAACAAUUUUACAAUUUCAAAUUAGGAUAACAUCCUUUUUUGGAGCUC